This 72-nucleotide transfer RNA is filed under the name Camelus bactrianus (Bactrian camel). It matches the Rfam family "tRNA". From Rfam's summary of the family: Transfer RNA (tRNA) molecules are approximately 80 nucleotides in length. Their secondary structure includes four short double-helical elements and three loops (D, anti-codon, and T loops). Further hydrogen bonds mediate the characteristic L-shaped molecular structure. tRNAs have two regions of fundamental functional importance: the anti-codon, which is responsible for specific mRNA codon recognition, and the 3' end, to which the tRNAs corresponding amino acid is attached (by aminoacyl-tRNA synthetases). tRNAs cope with the degeneracy of the genetic code in two manners: having more than one tRNA (with a specific anti-codon) for a particular amino acid; and 'wobble' base-pairing, i.e. permitting non-standard base-pairing at the 3rd anti-codon position. Lineage: Eukaryota; Metazoa; Chordata; Mammalia; Artiodactyla; Camelidae. RNAcentral also lists the same sequence under 1 other name. The record is from Rfam by way of RNAcentral.
GAGGGCAUAGCUCAGUGGUAGAGUGUGUGCUUAGCAUGCGCAAGGUCCUGGGUUCAAUCCCCAGCACCUCCA